ACAAACCAUUAUAGCUUGGCUCUAGCUAAAAAUUUAAUUAUAUUUUGGUUACCACAUGUAAGUCAAAAGCAAACCAGCAAACACUAUAAACCAAUAACAACCACAAAAACUGUUAUUAAACCAUAAAAAAGUCAAAACUUAAACAAACAAAAACUUGCGAACUUCAGUGUUUAACUUUAUACAAUCUAAGAAACUAGGAUAUAGCUAAAAAUAUAAAAGGCGGUAAAUAACGUGCCAGCAACCGCGGUUACACGUUAGCCUUAAAUUAAAUAACUCCGGUCCAUAGAAGAUUUACCCCUAAAUUUUAUAAAAAAAUUACUCAGCAGUAACAAGCUCAAACUAAACCUAAUAGAAAAUAAAAUUCUCCUAUAAAAGAAAAAAAAUAAACUGGGAUUAGAAACCCCACUAUACUCCCCCCAAACACCAAAGACCAGAGUAGUAUAAACCACAUCCAAUCGAAACUUAAAGAACUUGGCGGUUUUCUGAAACUUUUUGGAGGAGCUUGUCAUCCAAUUGAUAACCCACAAGCAACCUUACCAGUUUUUGAAAACAGCCUGUAUACCAUCGUCGCCAGCCUACCUUAAAGAACGUAAGCUAAAAGACAAACCCUGUCCAAACGUCAGAUCAAGGUGCAGCCAAUAAACUGGCGAUAGAUGAGCUACCCUACUUAACAACCGAGGACCUUUAUAUGAAAACUAAAAAGAAAAAGGAUUCAACAGUAAUUUCAUAAAGAAAUAUUAUAAUGAAACAAGCUCCAGAAUGCGCACACAUCGCCCGUCACUCUCAUCAAACGAAGAGAAAAGUCGUAACACAGUAGAUGUACCGGAAGGUGUAUCUAGAAA
Molecule: non-coding RNA, 842 nt
Filed under: Pseudocolochirus violaceus
Lineage: Eukaryota; Metazoa; Echinodermata; Holothuroidea; Dendrochirotida; Cucumariidae
Source: RNAcentral